This 29-nucleotide non-coding RNA is filed under the name Homo sapiens (human). Lineage: Eukaryota; Metazoa; Chordata; Mammalia; Primates; Hominidae. The record is from RNAcentral.
UGGUGUCUCACUGUGGCAUCCUCAGGCGA